Molecule: non-coding RNA, 195 nt
Organism: Vicia faba (fava bean)
Lineage: Eukaryota; Viridiplantae; Streptophyta; Magnoliopsida; Fabales; Fabaceae
Source: the annotation of a GenBank genome assembly
AUGCAGCAAAACAACCCCAAAAUCUGCUGUAAAACCAUCCUACAAAACAAUCCUAAAACUGUUAUAAAAAUGCAGCAAAUCAGUCCAAAAAACAGCAACCUGCAAUGGUCCAAAACAGGCCAAAACAACUAUGAAAUUGCAAACAAAUUUGCUGUAAAUCAGUCUGCUACAGCCUACUACCCUGCAUCAAAAUAG